UACGGAGGGUGCAAGCGUUAUCCGGAUUUACUGGGUUUAAAGGGAGCGCAGGCGGAUUGAUAAGUCAGUGGUGAAAGCCUGUUGCUUAACAACAGAACUGCCAUUGAUACUGUCAAUCUUGAAUAUGUUUGAUGUGGGCGGAAUAUGACAUGUAGCGGUGAAAUGCUUAGAUAUGUCAUAGAACACCGAUUGCGAAGGCAGCUCACAAAGCCAUUAUUGACGCUGAGGCACGAAAGCGUGGGGAUCAAACAGG
This 253-nucleotide ribosomal RNA is filed under the name uncultured bacterium. RNAcentral describes it as "partial 16S ribosomal RNA". It matches the Rfam family "Bacterial small subunit ribosomal RNA", at positions 524 to 776 of the family's 1533-position model. The record is from RNAcentral.